AUGUAGGAGAAACAAACAUGGGACUCGCUUGUUGUGGUUGUUGUAGAAUCAUUUGCUUGUGGAAACAACAUAAAGUCACUUUGCCCGUUCUCCUCCUUUAUCAUGGAAGCCUCAGCAAAUCUACGCCCAUAAAAUCUCAAGAAAUUCAGAGAUUCCACUCUUGGCUGACCUAAAGGAAUACUGCCUUCCAACAUUCCUACAACAUUUACCAUAUUAGGCCUCCAUGAUGGUUCCUCGUGAACACAACACAGAGCUACACGCACUAAUUUUUCCACCUCUUCAC
This 283-nucleotide unclassified non-coding RNA is filed under the name Hevea brasiliensis (rubber tree). Lineage: Eukaryota; Viridiplantae; Streptophyta; Magnoliopsida; Malpighiales; Euphorbiaceae. The record is from RNAcentral.